AAACUUAAAUGAAUUGACGGGGCCCGCACAAGCGGUGGAGCAUGUGGUUUAAUUCGAUGCAACGCGAAGAACCUUACCUGGGCUUGACAUCUGGGGAAUCCCCUGGAAACAGGGGAGUGCCCUUCGGGGAACCCCAAGACAGGUGCUGCAUGGCUGUCGUCAGCUCGUGUCGUGAGAUGUUGGGUUAAGUCCCGCAACGAGCGCAACCCUUAUCCCCAGUUGCCAUCAGGUAAAGCUGGGAACUCUGGGGAGACUGCCGGUGAUAAACCGGAGGAAGGCGGGGAUGACGUCAAGUCCUCAUGGCCCUUACAUCCCGGGCUACACACGUGCUACAAUGGCAGGUACAGAGGGCUGCGAAGCCGCGAGGUGGAGCGAAUCCCAGAAAACCUGUCUCAGUCCGGAUUGAAGUCUGCAACUCGACUUCAUGAAGGCGGAAUCGCUAGUAACCGCGAAUCAGCAGGUCGCGGUGAAUACGUUCCCGGGCCUU
Molecule: ribosomal RNA, 487 nt
Filed under: uncultured Latescibacterota bacterium
Lineage: Bacteria; Pseudomonadati; Candidatus Latescibacterota
Description: bacterial SSU rRNA
Rfam family: Bacterial small subunit ribosomal RNA
Source: RNAcentral